AUUGCCCUAGUAACGGCGAGUGAAGCGGCAACAGCUCAAAUUUGAAAUCUGGCCCCCGGGUCCGAGUUGUAAUUUGUAGAGGAUGCUUUUGGUGCGGUACCUUCCGAGUUCCCUGGAACGGGACGCCAUAGAGGGUGAGAGCCCCGUCUGGUUGGACGCCAAUCCUUUGUAAAGCUCCUUCAACGAGUCGAGUAGUUUGGGAAUGCUGCUCUAAAUGGGAGGUAUAUGUCUUCUAAAGCUAAAUAUUGGCCAGAGACCGAUAGCGCACAAGUAGAGUGAUCGAAAGAUGAAAAGCACUUUGAAAAGAGAGUUAAAAAGUACGUGAAAUUGUUGAAAGGGAAGCGCUCAUGACCAGACUUGGGCUUGGUUGAUCAUCCAGGGUUCUCCCUGGUGCACUCUUCCGGCCCAGGCCAGCAUCAGUUCGCUGUGGGGGAUAAAGGCUUCGGGAAUGUGGCUCCCUCGGGAGUGUUAUAGCCCGUUGUGUAAUACCCUGUGGUGGACUGAGGUUCGCGCAUUCGCAAGGAUGCUGGCGUAAUGGUCAUCAGCGACCCGUCUUGAAACACGGACCAAGGAGUCGUCUUCGUAUGCGAGUGUUCGGGUGUCAAACCCCUACGCGUAAUGAAAGUGAACGCAGGUGAGAGCUUCGGCGCAUCAUCGACCGAUCCUGAUGUUCUCGGAUGGAUUUGAGUAAGAGCAUACGGGGCCGGACCCGAAAGAAGGUGAACUAUGCCUGUAUAGGGUGAAGCCAGAGGAAACUCUGGUGGAGGCUCGCAGCGGUUCUGACGUGCAAAUCGAUCGUCAAAUAUGGGCAUGGGGGCGAAAGACUAAU
RNAcentral lists this ribosomal RNA (829 nucleotides) under Neonectria lugdunensis. RNAcentral describes it as "eukaryotic LSU rRNA". It matches the Rfam family "Eukaryotic large subunit ribosomal RNA", at positions 74 to 935 of the family's 3401-position model. The record is from RNAcentral. Lineage: Eukaryota; Fungi; Ascomycota; Sordariomycetes; Hypocreales; Nectriaceae.